GACGAACGCUGGCGGCGUGCCUAAUACAUGCAAGUAGAACGCUGAAGGAGGAGCUUGCUUCUCGGGAUGAGUUGCGAACGGGUGAGUAACGCGUAGGUAACCUGCCUGGUAGCGGGGGAUAACUAUUGGAAACGAUAGCUAAUACCGCAUAAGAGUAGAUGUUGCAUGACAUUUGCUUAAAAGGUGCAAUUGCAUCACUACCAGAUGGACCUGCGUUGUAUUAGCUAGUUGGUGGGGUAACGGCUCACCAAGGCGACGAUACAUAGCCGACCUGAGAGGGGGAUCGGCCACACUGGGACUGAGACACGGCCCAGACUCCUACGGGAGGCAGCAGUAGGGAAUCUUCGGCAAUGGAAGGAAGUCUGACCGAGCAACGCCGCGUGAGUGAAGAAGGUUUUCGGAUCGUAAAGCUCUGUUGUAAGAGAAGAACGAGUGUGAGAGUGGAAAGUUCACACUGUGACGGUAUCUUACCAGAAAGGGACGGCUAACUACGUG
RNAcentral lists this ribosomal RNA (495 nucleotides) under uncultured bacterium. Its description in RNAcentral is "partial 16S ribosomal RNA". It matches the Rfam family "Bacterial small subunit ribosomal RNA", at positions 28 to 507 of the family's 1533-position model. The record is from RNAcentral.